This 426-nucleotide ribosomal RNA is filed under the name uncultured prokaryote. RNAcentral's name for it is "bacterial SSU rRNA". It matches the Rfam family "Bacterial small subunit ribosomal RNA", at positions 355 to 796 of the family's 1533-position model. The record is from RNAcentral.
UGGGGAAUUUUCCGCAAUGGGCGAGAGCCUGACGGAGCAACGCCGCGUGAGGGAGGACGGCCUGUGGGUUGUAAACCUCUUUUCUCAGGGAAGGAGAACUGACGGUACCUGAGGAAUCAGCAUCGGCUAACUCCGUGCCAGCAGCCGCGGUAAGACGGAGGAUGCAAGCGUUAUCCGGAAUUAUUGGGCGUAAAGCGUUCGUAGGUGGUUCUGUAAGUCUGCUGUUAAAGCGUGUAGCUCAACUACAUAUAGGCAGUGGAAACUACAAAACUAGAGUGCGUUCGGGGCAGAGGGAAUUCCUAGUGUAGCGGUGAAAUGCGUAGAGAUUAGGAAGAACACCGGUGGCGAAAGCGCUCUGCUAGGCCGCAACUGACACUGAGGGACGAAAGCUAGGGGAGCGAAUGGGAUUAGAUACCCCCGUAGUCC